Molecule: transfer RNA, 70 nt
Filed under: Marmota monax (woodchuck)
Lineage: Eukaryota; Metazoa; Chordata; Mammalia; Rodentia; Sciuridae
Description: tRNA.Undet
Source: RNAcentral
GGGGUUGUGGCUUAGUGGUAGAGUGCCCACCUCGCAGUAUGAGGCACUGGGUUCGAUUCUCAGCACCACA